CUGCUCGCACAGAACCAACAUAAACAAGCAUCACAGGUUCGGCUAUUGCAAUUACAGUAUUUUGCAUCCAUCGUUGAGAUUGCCGGCCGGUUCAUAAUCGCUGUCACAAACGAAAUAUUACGACGUACUAUUGAUUCGUCUACAUUACAUUGUCGUCCACGUCGCGUCGGUAUUCGGAUCAGAACUCGCCACUCGGACUCAGUGAUUCACUCCCCCCUUUGUUUAGAUUGCAACAACAAUGGCAUCCAAGGUACCACGAGUGACGCUCAACAAUGGCAAAUCGAUUCCGAUUCUCGGUCUGGGAACGUGGGGUUCUCCUCCCGGUGAAGUCGCACAGGCAGUAAAGGAUGCCAUUGACGUUGGCUACCGUCACAUCGAUGGUGCCCAUGUGUACCAAAAUGAACACGAGGUUGGCGAAGGUGUUAACGCUAAGAUCGCUGAAGGCGUUGUCAAACGUGAGGAUCUGUUCAUUACGAGCAAGCUGUGGAACACUUUCCAUCGUCCGGAUCUGGUCGAAGGUGCCUGUCGAACGACGCUGAAGAACCUUGGACUGGAAUACGUCGACCUGUAUCUGAUCCACUGGCCGAUGGCCUACAAGGAGGACGGCGAGCUGUUUCCCGCCGAUGCCGACGGAAAGACAGCUUAUUCCGACGUUGACUAUUUGGACACCUGGAAGGAAAUGGAAAAGUUGGUCGAAUUGGGACUUGCCAAGAGUAUUGGCAUUUCCAACUUCAACUCGAAACAGGUCGAACGGGUUUUGGCUAUUGCCAAGAUCAAGCCAGUGACGAACCAGGUUGAGUGCCACCCCUAUCUGGCUCAAACUAAGCUGUCAGCCUUCUGCGCUAGCCGAGAUAUUGUCAUUACCGCGUACAGUCCCCUCGGUUCACCCAACCGUCCAUGGGCUAAGCCAGAAGAUCCCCAACUGAUGGAAGACCCGAAAAUUGUUGCCAUUGCCAAGAAAUACAACAAGACAUCAGCUCAAAUCUUGAUUCGGUAUCAGAUUCAGCGAGGCCACGUAGUUAUCCCCAAGUCCGUGACCAAAUCACGCAUCCAAUCCAACUUUGAGGUGUUUGACUUUGAGCUAACCGAGGACGAUAUGAAGCUGAUCACGUCCUUCGACUGCAAUGGACGUUUGGUGCCGAUUACCAGCGCUGAUACCAGUCCAUAUUACCCUUUCCACGAGGAUUUUUAAGCUGUGCCUGUUGUCAAGCGAAAUUUGAAGAAAACGUAAACGUUCUGCUGCCAAUGUUGCUGCUGGUCACCCGUAUCAUCCUUUCGAGAAGGAAGAAUUUUAGUUGCGUCCGCACACAAAUGUCGCUGAAAUCAUCACACCAUACUGUCCUUGGAAGAACAACCCGUUUGGAUGGCUUCGUUGUGAAGUAUCACUUGUACUACCGAUCGGGAUUCCCUUUUGUUAAUUGUCGCUUUAUUAUAAUGGAAUAUACUGAUUUUUAACGAU
Aedes aegypti (yellow fever mosquito) is the source of this 1459-nucleotide RNA transcript. It is a transcript of the gene named aldose reductase, with no coding region annotated. The transcript is spliced from 6 exons. The record is from RefSeq and is a predicted model, not a curated record. Lineage: Eukaryota; Metazoa; Arthropoda; Insecta; Diptera; Culicidae.